This 2492-nucleotide small RNA is filed under the name Pongo abelii (Sumatran orangutan). Its description in RNAcentral is "retained intron". Lineage: Eukaryota; Metazoa; Chordata; Mammalia; Primates; Hominidae. The record is from RNAcentral.
AGCGAAGAUGGCGGCAGUGGAGAAGCGGCGGCAAGCGGUAGCACCGCCGGCAGGUUUCACGGACAGCGGCCGCCAGUCGGUAUCCCGGGCGGCGGGGGCGGCCGAGAGCGAGGAGGACUUCCUGCGGCAGGUCGGCGUGACGGAAAUGCUACGUGCGGCCCUGCUGAAGGUGCUGGAGGCGCGGCCCGAGGAGCCGAUCGCCUUCCUGGCUCACUACUUCGAGAACAUGGGCCUGCGCUCGCCUGUAAACGGCGGCGCCGGGGAGCCCCCGGGCCAGCUCCUGCUGCAGCAGCAGCGCCUGGGCCGCGCGCUGUGGCACCUUCGCCUGGCCCACCACUCCCAGAGGUGAGCAGCGGGCCGGCUUGGGCGGGUGGGGCGGCGACGGACUUCAACUCCCAGCAUGCUCCGCGCGGAUCCCUACCCGCAGCGCCGGCGCGGGGGCCCGGGGCUUGCUGGGAGUUGUAGUCCGCGGUGCCUUCUUGGCUGGGAUGGACCGGACAAGGUGGGUUGGAGGGUCCGGGCUUGGGUCCGACGCUGGACAGCGCGCUGCAUGCGGCCUUCUGGCCGGCUUCGCCUUCUGUGAUGCCUUUUUGCAGGUGCUGAGUUUCCCCUUGCAGUUCAUGAUUUUCAAAAUCAUGCAGCUCAGAGAGGACUUGGCCCGAGGUCGCAGAGCCAGCCCCCGAGCCAGGUCCUCCUAGUCGCCUCGUUAGCAGCCUCAUGGCAUCCCCGUACAUUCGGCCAGAAUGUGAAUAUUUACAAAGAGCAGCGCAGUCACCCAGGGCCCCCACCUUAGGGGACAGGCUCCCAGCGGGCAGGUGGGGAUUCCUGGAAGAGCCUGGCGAUGUGCGUGGCGGGUUGCAGGGAAGAGGCCCAGCAGAUGCAAAUUUAGACCCUGAGUGUGGGACACACGGGAGGCGGGAAAGCCACGGAAUUUGGCUGAAGCAUGCGAGGCUGCAGGUGCCUACGCGCGGUGUCCCCUGGCUGGGGCCAGUUCUGAGCCCAGGGAAGGUGGUUGAGGACUAUGUGUUGACGUUGGGGAUGGAUGGGCUGCUGUCUUUUGUUGAGGGGGGGUCUCCAGAAGCGGAGCCUGAGGUAGGCAUUGUGUGUGCAGGUGAUUUUAUAAGGGGGUGCGCCCAAGAGAACCCAGGAAGGGGGUGGGAAGAGCAGGCUGGGAAGGAUGCCAAGCAAAGGUGCCCUUUCAGCUUCAUAACCAGGGCAUAAGCGCCGACCAUGGCAGCCCUCGCCAGAGUCUCAGAGAAGUUCGGGGGGAGAAGAGAGACGGGGAGUGUCCCCCCACCACGGUCACGGUGCACAGGUGUCCAAGAUCAUACUCAGAUAAGGGUGGCAGGGUGUUGGGGACCUGGACAAGGAGCAGACUUGCUCCAGUGGCCCAGUGGCUCUGAAGGCCCCUGGUUUGAAGAAGCUGCCAGAGCCACUUGCGGAUUAAGCUGGAGGCUGGGAGGAGCCUGGAGACAGGAAGGUAGAAAGAAGCGUCUGCAACUGAGACACGGGACCAGGACAGAAGACUGAACUGGAGGGGUCCUGAAGGCUUCAGGAGAGAUGAGAAGAGCUCAGGACCACACUCUGAGGGCACCUAGCCCAGAGAGCCCACAAGAAAGGGUGAGAAGGUGAGACCAGAGGUGAAGGGGGAGCAGGAGGAAGAUGGCCUCCCAGGACAUCCGGAAGAGAAUCUCCCAAGGAGGAAAAGGGGUCAACAGCAGGCCCACCACGUAUGGUUGUUCAGGUUGAGCACUGCACAAGCCAUUCACCCCAUAGACACUGCAGAUGAGGAUAUUUAUGUUUAUAUUAAUUUCCGAGGGCUGCUGGAACAAAUUACCUCCAACUUAGUGGCUUAAAACAACAGAAAUUUAUUCUCUCACAGUUCUGGAGGGCAGAAGUCUGAAAUCGAGGUGUCAGGAGGGCCACACUCCCUCUGGAGGCUCCAGGGAAGGAGCCUUCCUUGCCUCCCCAGCUUCCGGUGGAGGCCAGCAGUCUUUGGCUUGUGGCCGCAUCACUGCAGUCUCUGCCUCCGUCGUCACAUGGCCUCCUGUGUGUCUCUGUCCUGUGUUCCCUCAUAAGGACACCACUAGGCCCCACCCUACUCCAGUGUGACCUCAACUAUCUACAUCUGCAAAGCUGCUGUCUCAAACAAGCUCUCAGUCUGAGGUUCUGGAUGGGCAUGAGUUUGGUGGGCACCAGUCACCCCAGGACAGGAGUGGAGCCAUUGGCUGGAAGAGUUCUCAUAGCAGGGACUCAGGGCAAGGGUGGUGCUGGUGGCAGAUGCAUGCCGGCCCUGGGCUCGCCUGGGCUCCCCAGAGACACAGCCAAUGGGGAAUGCAGAAGACAGGUGCGCAGACCUGCAUGGCAUCUGAUUCUGUGCUCAUGGAGCCAGGCCUGCUCCCGUCCUCCCAGCAGGCAGCUCCGGCCGCCCCUCCAUCCUUGGACCGUCAGGAACCCCUGAGGUCACCUGGCCAGUCAGGAAGAGAAGCCCA